This 269-nucleotide ribosomal RNA is filed under the name uncultured prokaryote. RNAcentral describes it as "partial 16S ribosomal RNA". It matches the Rfam family "Bacterial small subunit ribosomal RNA", at positions 524 to 792 of the family's 1533-position model. The record is from RNAcentral.
UACGUAGAAGGCAAACGUUAUUCGGAAUUACUGGGCGUAAAGCGGGUGUAGACGGCUUUUUAAGUCGGAUGUGAAAUCUCUUAACUUAAUUAAGAGAGGUCAUUCGAUACUAUUAGGCUUGAGGACGGCAGAGGAAGGCGGAACUCCCGGUGUAGCGGUGAUAUGCGUAGAUAUCGGGAGGAACACCAGUGGCGAAGGCGGCCUUCUAGGCCGUUCCUGACGUUGAGGCCCAAAAGCGUGGGGAGCGAAACGGAUUAGAUACCCUCGUA